Neofelis nebulosa (Clouded leopard) is the source of this 1925-nucleotide long non-coding RNA. RefSeq lists it as uncharacterized. The record is from RefSeq and is a predicted model, not a curated record. Lineage: Eukaryota; Metazoa; Chordata; Mammalia; Carnivora; Felidae. The transcript has 2 exons.
UGUGUGUGUGUGUGUGUACACCUUCUUUAUCCAUUCAUCAGUCAGUGGGCAUAUGGGCUCUUUCCAUCAUUUGGCUAUUGUUGAUAGUGCUGCUGUAAACAUUGGGGUGCAUUUGAAAGGUGUAUGUGCUCCUUUGAGUCAGCAUUUCUGUAUCCUUGGCUAAAUACCUAGUAGUGCACUUGGUGGGUCAUAGGGCGCCCCUAUUUUUAAUUUUUUGAAGAACCCCCAUGCUGUUUUCCAGAGUGGCUGCCCCACUUUGCAUUCCCACCAGCAGUGCAAAAGGAUUCCCCUUCUGCCACAUCCUCGCCAACAUCUCUUGUUUCCUGAGUUGUUAAUAUUAAGCCAUUUAACAGGUGUGACAUGGUAGCUCAUUGUGGUUUUGAUAGGUAUUUUCUCUGAUGAUGUUGAGCAUUUUUUCCCGUGUCUCUUAGUCAUCUGGAUGUCUUCUUUGGAGAAGUGUCUGUUGAUGUCUUUUGCCCAUUUCUUCACUGGAUUAUUUGUUUUUUUUGGGUGUGGAGUUUGAUAAGUUCAUUACAGAUUUUGGAUACUAGCCUUGUAUCUGAUAAGCCAUUUGCAGAUAUCUUCUCCCAUUCCAUAGGCUGCCUUUUAUUUCUGUUGAUUGUUUCCUUGGCUGUGCAGAAGCUUUUUAUCUUGAUGAGGUCCCAAUAGUUCAUUUUUGCUUUUGUUUCCCUUACUUCUGGAGACAUGUCUAGUAAGAAGUUUCUGUGGACGAAUGAAAGAGAAGAGAUCACAACCAACACUGCAGAAAUAAAUACAAUAAUAAGAGAAUAUUAUAAGCAAUUAUAUGCCAACAAUUCGGGCAGUCUGGAAGAAACAAACAAAUUCCUAGAAACUUACAAACUGCCAAAACUGAAACAGGAGGAAGUAGAAAAUUUUAACAGACCCAUAAGCAGUAAAGAAUUGGAAUCAUUAAUCAAAACUCUCCCAACAAGCCAGAGUCUAGAGCUGGAUGGCUUCCCAAGGGAGUUCUACCAAACAUUCAAAGAAGAGUUAAUACCUAUUGUUUUGAAGCUGUUCCAAAAAAUAGAAAUGGAAAGGAAAACUUCCAAACUCAUUCUAUGAGGCCAGCAUUCUCUUAAUUCCAAAACCAAAGACCCCCCUAAAAAGGAGAAUUACAGACCAAUUUCCCUGAUGAAAAUGCAUGCAAAAAUUCUCAACAAGAUAGUAGCAAAUCAAAUUCAACAAUACAUUAAAAGAAUGGCUCACCACAAUCCAGUGGAAUUUAUUCUUGGGCUGCAGGGCUGGUUCAAUAUCUGCACAUCAACCAAUGUGAUAUAUCACAUUAAUGAAAAAAACUGGUAAGUACCAGAUGAUCCUCUCCAUAGAUUCAGAAAAAGCAUUUGACAAAUUAUAGCAUCCUUUUUUGAUGAAAGCCAUCAAAGUAGGGACAGAAGGAACAUACCUCGAGAUCAUAAAGGCCAUAGACAAAAGACCCACAGCUAAUAUCCUCAAUAGGGAAAAACUGAGAACUUUCCCUCUAAGGCCAGGAACAUGACAGGGAUGUCCACUCUCACCAUUGUUUUUCAGCAUAGUGUUGGAAAUCCUAGCCUUAGCUAUCAGGCAACAAAAAGAAAUAAAAGGCAUCCAGAUCAGGAAGGAAGAAGUCAAAACUUUCACUCUUCUAGAUGACAUGAUACUCUAUAUGGAGAACAUGAAAGACCCCCAUCAAAAGACUGCUAGAACUGAUACGUGAAUUCAGCAAAGUUGCAGGAUAUAAAAUCAAUGUACAGAGAUUGGUUGCAUUUCUAUACACCAAUAAUGAAAGCAGCAGAAAGAGAAAUCAAGGAAUCCAUCCCAGUUACAAUUGCACGAAAAACCAUGAGAUACCUAGGAAUGAACCUAACCAAAGAAGUACAGGAUCUUUAUGCUGAAAACUAUAGAAAGCUCAUGAAAGAAAUAGAAGA